GGCCCGCUAGCUCAAUGGUAGAGCAGUUGCCUUUUAAGCAAUUGGUUACAGGUUCGAAUCCUGUGCGGGUCACCA
Molecule: transfer RNA, 75 nt
Filed under: Candidatus Curtissbacteria bacterium RIFCSPHIGHO2_02_FULL_42_15
Lineage: Bacteria; Candidatus Curtissiibacteriota
Description: tRNA-Lys
Rfam family: tRNA
About the family: Transfer RNA (tRNA) molecules are approximately 80 nucleotides in length. Their secondary structure includes four short double-helical elements and three loops (D, anti-codon, and T loops).
Source: RNAcentral